This 119-nucleotide ribosomal RNA is filed under the name Escherichia coli. RNAcentral's name for it is "partial 16S ribosomal RNA". It matches the Rfam family "Bacterial small subunit ribosomal RNA", at positions 1 to 112 of the family's 1533-position model. RNAcentral also lists the same sequence under 10 other names. Lineage: Bacteria; Pseudomonadati; Pseudomonadota; Gammaproteobacteria; Enterobacterales; Enterobacteriaceae. The record is from RNAcentral.
AAAUUGAAGAGUUUGAUCAUGGCUCAGAUUGAACGCUGGCGGCAGGCCUAACACAUGCAAGUCGAACGGUAACAGGAAGCAGCUUGCUGCUUUGCUGACGAGUGGCGGACGGGUGAGUA